AAGCCCCGGCUAAAUACGUGCCAGCAGCCGCGGUAAUACGUAUGGGGCAAGCGUUAUCCGGAAUUAUUGGGCGUAAAGAGUGCGUAGGUGGUUACCUAAGCGCAAGGUUUAAUCUUGAGGCUCAACCUCAUUCUGCCUUGCGAACUGGGCUACUUGAGUGCAGGAGGGGAAAGCGGAAUUCCCAGUGUAGCGGUGAAAUGCGUAGAUAUUGGGAAGAACACCGGUGGCGAAGGCGGCUCUCUGGACUGUAACUGACACUGAGGCACGAAAGCGUGGGGAGCAAACAGGAUUAGAUACCCUGGUAGUCCACGCCGUAAACGAUGAGCACUAGUUGUUGGGUACGAAUGUAUUCAGUGACGCAGUUAACGCAAUAAGUGCUCCGCCUGGGGAGUACGGUGGCAACACUAAAACUCAAAGGAAUUGACGGGGACCCGCACAAGCAGCGGAGCAUGUGGUUUAAUUCGAAGCAACGCGAAAAACCUUACCAGGGCUUGACAUCCCUCUGACCGGCUCUUAACCGAGCCUUUCUUCGGACAGAGGUGACAGGUGGUGCAUGGUUGUCGUCAGCUCGUGUCGUGAGAUGUUGGGUUAAGUCCCGCAACGAGCGCAACCCUUGUCGUCAGUUACUAACAUUAAGUUGAGGACUCUGACGAGACUGCCGAGGUCAACUCGGAGGAAGGUGGGGAUGACGUCAAAUCAUCAUGCCCCUUAUGUUCUGGGCUACACACGUGCUACAAUGGUCGGUACAAUGAGACGCAAUACAGUGAUGUGGAGCAAAUCACCAAAACCGAUCCCAGUUCGGAUUGCAGGCUGCAACUCGCCUGCAUGAAGUCGGAGUUGCUAGUAAUCGCGAAUCAGCAUGUCGCGGUGAAUGCGUUCCCGGGUCUUG
RNAcentral lists this ribosomal RNA (889 nucleotides) under uncultured bacterium. Its description in RNAcentral is "bacterial SSU rRNA". It matches the Rfam family "Bacterial small subunit ribosomal RNA", at positions 488 to 1383 of the family's 1533-position model. The record is from RNAcentral.